This 460-nucleotide ribosomal RNA is filed under the name uncultured bacterium. RNAcentral describes it as "partial 16S ribosomal RNA". It matches the Rfam family "Bacterial small subunit ribosomal RNA", at positions 338 to 795 of the family's 1533-position model. The record is from RNAcentral.
CCUACGGGAGGCAGCAGUGAGGAAUAUUGGUCAAUGGGCGCGAGCCUGAACCAGCCAAGUAGCGUGAAGGAUGACUGCCCUACGGGUUGUAAACCUCUUUUAUCAAGGAAUAAAGUGAGGCACGUGUGCCUUUUUGUAUGUACUUUAUGAAUAAGGAUCGGCUAACUCCGUGCCAGCAGCCGCGGUAAUACGGAGGAUCCGAGCGUUAUCCGGAUUUAUUGGGUUUAAAGGGAGCGUAGAUGGGUGUGUAAGUCAGUGGUUAAAGUUUGCGGCUCAACCGUAAAAUUGCAAUUGAUACUGGCAGCCUUGAGUACAGGUGAGGUAGGCGGAAUUCGUGGUGUAGCGGUGAAAUGCUUAGAUAUCACGAAGAACUCCGAUUGCGAAGGCAGCCUACUAAACUGCCACUGACAUUGAUGCUCGAAAGUGUGGGUAUCAAACAGGAUUAGAUACCCUGGUAGUC